GCUUUAGGCUCACUCUACAGCAGCCAUCGAUAAAUAAUGCGUGUUUGACCUCAUUGCAAUUCUCAUAUUCUCGAACGCGACUCAUUUGUUCAUCUUCAGUUGCGUCAGCUUCAGGCGUCAUUCAUCAACACGAAAUCAGCAACAGAUCAACUGACGUGUGUGAGAAUCGAAAAAUCGUGUGUUGUUUAACCUAUUGCCACCUCCUUGCAUGAUUGCAAUGGUGUUCUGGCUUGUUGAACUUGUUUACAGUAAUUGAGGAAAUCACUUUUCGUGCUUUCUGGGAAACUUUCGGUAUUUAACUAAUCGGGAUUGUAACGACAUAUUAUUAUUAUUAUUGUAUGACUCGCCAACUAAAUUCGCAUUGAAACUAUUUUUCUCAGAGACAGCACUAAAGAGAUUUUUAUUCAAUGUAAAAAAGUAAUCUAAAUUGACUGAAAAGGUUUAAAUAAUGUAAACAUCCAGGUUGAGAUUCAAUUCCAAUGACUUCAAAACAUUUAAGGAAUCGGUGGAUUUGUCAGAAUGAAAUGUCUACAGUUAUGGGGUAAGGAAUUGUUUCCUCCUUAUAAACAUAUUAUAAUACUUGUAAGAUCAAACGAAAAUUACUUAACUUUAACUGUAUUCGAAGUAUUUAUGCGUUGUAAAGCAACGUUCAUCCUAUUAAUUUUAAAUCAAAGACCGCGCCGUUCAUGUUUGAUACAUUCGAGAGGAAGCCACGGUAAUAAAGAUGCCUUACUGAGGCCAGAUCUAUGCAGUUUAUGCAAAUAUGGCUUAUAGAGAGAACGUGAACUAUGUCAGAAUUUACACAGAUCUGAGCGAAAUAUUACUCAAUGCUCCAAUCCAUCCAGUUUCGUUACGAUGACGAUACUAAAAUAAUAUAAACUCUUAAACUAGUUUAGAAAUUCACGUUUAAGAUUUUGAAAUGUACUAACUGGUGUAAAUUAUAUUUUACUAUAUUUAAGCUGUAUAAUAUAUAAUCGAUGAGAUUGCAAUGUUAUCUGUUAAUAAAGUAUAUACAUAAAUAUAUAACUAAAUAAAUAUUUAGACAAAAACCGAG
This is a long non-coding RNA of Bombyx mori (domestic silkworm), 1054 nucleotides long. RefSeq lists it as uncharacterized. NCBI's taxonomy places the organism in Eukaryota, Metazoa, Arthropoda, Insecta, Lepidoptera, Bombycidae. The record is from RefSeq and is a predicted model, not a curated record. The transcript has 2 exons.